This 311-nucleotide ribosomal RNA is filed under the name uncultured eukaryote. RNAcentral's name for it is "partial 18S ribosomal RNA". It matches the Rfam family "Eukaryotic small subunit ribosomal RNA", at positions 1470 to 1796 of the family's 1831-position model. The record is from RNAcentral.
CCCUUAGAUGUCCGGGGCCGCACGCGCGCUACACUGAAGGAAUCAGCGUGGCUUUCUCCCUGACCCGAAAGGGUUGGGAAACCCGUUGAAUCUCCUUCGUGAUAGGGAUUGGGGCUUGAAAUUGUUCCCCAUGAACGAGGAAUUCCCAGUAAGCGCGAGUCAUAAGCUCGCGUUGAUUACGUCCCUGCCCUUUGUACACACCGCCCGUCGCUACUACCGAUUGAACGGUUUAGUGAGGGCCUCGGAUCCGCGCUUAAUGUGUGGAGAAUUUGGACAAACUACGUCAUUUAGAGGAAGUAAAAGUCGUAACA